This 618-nucleotide ribosomal RNA is filed under the name uncultured Alphaproteobacteria bacterium. RNAcentral's name for it is "bacterial SSU rRNA". It matches the Rfam family "Bacterial small subunit ribosomal RNA", at positions 28 to 692 of the family's 1533-position model. Lineage: Bacteria; Pseudomonadati; Pseudomonadota; Alphaproteobacteria. The record is from RNAcentral.
AACGAACGCUGGCGGCACGCCUAACACAUGCAAGCCGAGCGGGGUAGCAAUACCUAGCGGCAGACGGGUGCGUAACAUGUGGGAAUCUGCCUUUUGGUUCGGAACAACAUGGGGAAACCUGUGCUAAUACCGGAUAAGUCCCAACGGAGAAAGUUUUAAUGCCAAAAGAUGAGCCCGCAUUUGAUUAGCUUGUUGGUGAGGUAAAAGCUCACCAAGGCUAUAAUCAAUAGCUGAUUUGAGAGGAUGAUCAGCCACACUGGGACUGAGAUACGGCCCAGACUCCUACGGGAGGCAGCAGUGGGGAAUCUUGCACAAUGGGCGAAAGCCUGAUGCAGCGAUGCCGCGUGAGUGAAGAAGGCCUUUGGGUUGUAAAGCUCUUUUGUCGGGAAAGAUAAUGACUGUACCCGAAGAAUAAGGUCCGGCUAACUUCGUGCCAGCAGCCGCGGUAAUACGAAGGGACCUAGCGUAGUUCGGAAUUACUGGGCGUAAAGAGUAUGUAGGCGGCUAGAUAAGUUAAUUGUGAAAGCCCAAAGCUUAACUUUGGAACUGCAAUUAAAACUAUUUAGCUGGAGUAUGAUAGAGGAAAGCGGAAUACAUAGUGUAGAGGUGAAAUUCGUA